UACGAAGGGGGCUAGCGUUGCUCGGAAUCACUGGGCGUAAAGGGUGCGUAGGCGGGUCUUUAAGUCAGGGGUGAAAUCUUGGAGCUCAACUCCAGAACUGCCUUUGAUACUGAGGAUCUUGAGUUCGGGAGAGGUGAGUGGAACUGCGAGUGUAGAGGUGAAAUUCGUAGGUAUUCGGAAGAACACCAGUGGCGAAGGCGGCCAUCUGGACCGCAACUGACGCUGAGGCGCGAAAGCGUGGGGAGCAAACAGG
RNAcentral lists this ribosomal RNA (253 nucleotides) under uncultured bacterium. RNAcentral's name for it is "partial 16S ribosomal RNA". It matches the Rfam family "Bacterial small subunit ribosomal RNA", at positions 524 to 776 of the family's 1533-position model. The record is from RNAcentral.